GUGCUCAUGUCACCAGCACAUAUACUAAAACUGAAAUGAUACAGAAAAGAUUAGCAUGGCCCCUGUAUAAGGAUGACAUGCAAAUUUGUGAAGUGUUCCAUAUUAAA
RNAcentral lists this small nuclear RNA (107 nucleotides) under Ursus thibetanus thibetanus. Lineage: Eukaryota; Metazoa; Chordata; Mammalia; Carnivora; Ursidae. The record is from RNAcentral.